GAUGAACGCUGGCGGCGUGCCUAAUACAUGCAAGUCGAGCGAACAGAUGAGGAGCUUGCUCCUCUGACGUUAGCGGCGGACGGGUGAGUAACACGUGGAUAACCUACCUAUAAGACUGGGAUAACUUCGGGAAACCGGAGCUAAUACCGGAUAAUAUAUUUAACCUCAUGGUUCAAUAGGGAAAGACGGUUUUGCUGUCACUUAUAGAUGGAUCCGCGCCGCAUUAGCUAGUUGGUAAGUUAAAGGCUUACCAAGGCAACGAUGCGUACCCGACCUGAGAGGGUGAUCGGCCACACUGGAACUGAGACACGGUCCAGACUCCUACGGGAGGCAGCAGUAGGGAAGCUUCCGCAAUGGGCGAAAGCCUGCCGGAGCAACGCCGCGUGAGUGAUGAAGGUCUUCGGAUCGUAAACCUCUGUUAUUAGGGACGAACAAAUGUGUAAGUAACUAUGCACGUCUUGACGGUACCUAAUCAGAAAGCCACGGCUAACUACGUG
RNAcentral lists this ribosomal RNA (497 nucleotides) under uncultured bacterium. Its description in RNAcentral is "partial 16S ribosomal RNA". It matches the Rfam family "Bacterial small subunit ribosomal RNA", at positions 28 to 507 of the family's 1533-position model. The record is from RNAcentral.